This 231-nucleotide ribosomal RNA is filed under the name Triticum aestivum (bread wheat). RNAcentral's name for it is "partial small subunit ribosomal RNA". The record is from RNAcentral. Lineage: Eukaryota; Viridiplantae; Streptophyta; Magnoliopsida; Poales; Poaceae.
AUGGAUGACGAGUACUACAUAUUUCGCGGGGAAGGAUCCGAUAAUGACACCUUGGAGGAUGACGAGGAAGCGAUCACGUCAUCUGCUAUACCUAGCAAGGUUGAUCCAUUAGACUUUGUCUACACAAACAUCCCAGACAACACACACAUCCUGAAGCUAGACACAAACUGCAAACACUGCCAGGCCAGAAAGUUUGUCUCUGAGACUGACGGUUUCUGCUGUCGCAAUGGU